RNAcentral lists this ribosomal RNA (312 nucleotides) under Triticum aestivum (bread wheat). RNAcentral describes it as "partial small subunit ribosomal RNA". Lineage: Eukaryota; Viridiplantae; Streptophyta; Magnoliopsida; Poales; Poaceae. The record is from RNAcentral.
AUGUUAAAUGUAAUAUUUUUCUUCCGAUUCAAUGCACAGACCCUUUUUGCUAGUGCAAUACGUGUCUCACAAACCCUACUUUGUCACUGGGCGAAAUCACGCGAGAUUGAACCCAAAGCUAAGCACCUCUCCCUUUGCAAGAAAUACCAAUCUAGUUGGCCAAAACAAAUCAAUAAUUCGAAGAGAAAUACAAAGACACCAAAUCGUGCAUAUAAGAAUUCAGAGGAGAUUCAAAUAAUAUUCAUAGUUAGGCUGGUCAUAAAUCCACAAUUCAUUGAAUCUCGACAAACACACCGCAAUUACAUCGGAUAG